CCUUUGCCGGAGAGAACUCUGAGGAAACAGCCGGAAGCAGACUGUGCCGACGUGCGACGAGCGAGAAUCUCAGGAAAGAGCCGUUCGUUCCCAAACACAGUACGGUGGGCAGCUACGUGAUAGUUCGCGUUCAGGAGAUGCUGAACGAAGCCACCAACAGUGAUUAUGACACCAGAGAAUACUGAAGGCAUUAUGUGGUGUGCCUGUGUCCAGGUGCUUCGAAAGGACCCAACUACAUUCAAUUGGGACCAAGUAGGCCUCCAUUCAAACCCUGACAGCAUCGGGCCUCUAGGACGUCCAAUUGCCAAAUCUCUGGGGACUUUGGGAAUCUCAUGAGGAGAUUAUGGGGUACCCUGUUUCCAAGAUAGAUAAAACUCCAAGAAGAUUGUCAGCUUGAUUUUUUUUUCCUCAAAAAAUGGGUCCCUCAAAUCCAGGGUUCUAGGAAGCUCUUGUAGAGGCUGGCUCAGAGUUCGGUGCAUAGUUUUGCUAGUGGCUUGUUUUUCUGCAGAUAAGAUAUUAUAGGUCUGGGUGUCACUGUAUUUUAUUGGCUCAAAAGACAAAGUACAAAGGACGAGGAGGCAGUGGGUUUUGACUCAUAGAGGCUGUUGCCUGCCUGUGCCAUGUGAGCGUAUGUGGAAGGAACAUUGCAGUCCAUCAAGUAUAACUCUGCCUGCCCCAGCACUGCGGAAUUCUUUCCGCAUGACUCCAGGUACUCAGACACUUUUCCUAAGCAG
Molecule: long non-coding RNA, 734 nt
Organism: Chionomys nivalis (European snow vole)
Lineage: Eukaryota; Metazoa; Chordata; Mammalia; Rodentia; Cricetidae
Exons: 3
Source: RefSeq, a predicted model, not a curated record